This 247-nucleotide ribosomal RNA is filed under the name uncultured bacterium. RNAcentral describes it as "partial 16S ribosomal RNA". It matches the Rfam family "Bacterial small subunit ribosomal RNA", at positions 86 to 334 of the family's 1533-position model. The record is from RNAcentral.
UUGGCUCGAGUGGCGAACGGGUGAGUAACACGUGAGUAACCUGCCCUUGACUUUGGGAUAACUUCAGGAAACUGGGGCUAAUACCGGAUAGGAGCUCCUGCUGCAUGGUGGGGGUUGGAAAGUUUCGGCGGUUGGGGAUGGACUCGCGGCUUAUCAGCUUGUUGGUGGGGUAGUGGCUUACCAAGGCUUUGACGGGUAGCCGGCCUGAGAGGGUGACCGGCCACAUUGGGACUGAGAUACGGCCCAG